AAAUGCAAAUCAAAACCACAAUGACCUAUCACUUCACACCUGUUAGACUGGUUAUUAUUAAAAAGAUAACAGAUAACAAGUGCUAGUGAGAAUGUAGAGAAAAGGGAACAUUUGUGUACUGUUGGUGAGAAUGUAAAUUGGUGCAGCCAUGGAGGUUUCUCCAAAAAUUAAAAGCAGAACUACCAUAUGAUCCAUCAAUUCCACUUCUGGUAUACAGCCUAAGGAAAUUAAAAUCAUUUCAAAGAAAUGUCUGCACCCCUGUGUUUACUGCAGCACUAUUUACAACAGCUAAGAUAUGGAAACAGCCUAAGUGUCUAUUGACAGAUGAAUGGAUAGAGAAGAUAUGGUAUAUAUUUAUAUCACAAUGGAAUAUAUACAGCUAUUAAAAAAGGAGAAAAACUUGUCAUUUGGAACAACAUGGAUGAAACUUGGGGGCUUGUACUAAGUGAAAUAAGUCAGAUAGGGAAAAGACAAAUAUUGUAGAAUUUCACUUAUAUGUGGAAUUAAAAAAAAAACUCAUAGAAACAGAAAAAAAAGAUUGAUCAUGGGGGGUGAAGACAGGGGAAAUGGGUCAAAUAAAAUAGGUGUGUGUACACCCCAAAUCCUAUAGAGAUCCAGAGACUUCCUCACAAUGUCUGUGAAUUCCCAGAGGCUUAUAUCUCAGAUCUUUUGUUCUUCCUGGACUCUCCGCCUCAUUCAACUCUGUAUUUCUGUCCUCUCUGGCACCUGCCCCCCCUUCCCCCCCACACACAUGCACAAUCUGCUGCUACAGAUUAAAGUCUGUUUUCCUUUAAUUUCAUAAAACAUUACCAGCACAAGGCCAUUGUGUUUGGUAAACUCUUACCAAAAGUUCCAUGGUUGGUAUGCGUGUGUUUGUGUUAUGCCUUGACACAGGAUGGAUGGAACAUUAAGAUUAGAACAUUAAGAUUAGACUGCUUUGAAAAGACCUUGGCAUUUUACCAGCAUGGAAUGUGUAUUGGCUAACUCCUUCCCAGUGACCCUGGCCUGCAGCCACAUUACGGCUUCUCCUCUCCAGGCCUACCCCACAUAAAUUGUUUUCAUAAUCAAAUAUUUUCCAAAGAAGGAGUCUUUUCAGGAGAAGCAUAGGGACUUGAGAGAGAGGGGUAUAGAUGAGACUUACUCUCCAUCACCGUGCAGGUGACCAGGGGAUAAGCUGCUUAGAUUUUGACUCCAUAUAAGGAGAAUUUUCUGACAACAGUUUGCACAGAUUGCCUUUGCAAGACAUUUUGCCAUAAUUAUGUGGAGUGGAGGAGGAAUUCAGCCAAUGCUGAAUAUUCUCUUGCUGGAAAUGCUUCAGAGCAGUUUUGGGGAGAGAGGCAACAGGACUGCAGGUGACUUGCUUGAAGUCAUACAGCGGGAUGGGAGAGGGGCUAUGAUUUUGGUGGGGAUGAUUCCCAAGUUUGUUUCAAGAGCCCAGACUCUGUCCCUUGAUUAGCUGUGUGACCUUUUAGAGGUCAAAUAACCCCUCUAGGACUCAUGUUUCACAAGCAUAAUAUGGUUUCCUAUGCAGUGACCAGACUCUCUUAAGUGUGUGGGAGUAAAGUCAAACCUGCAGGCUCUAAGGCUUUUGUACUGGUUCCCAGCAUAAGGUAAAUACCAAUAUUUGCAUUGGGGACAUAGGGAGUUGACAUUUUCCACACAGAACUUUGUUCUUUGCCCACAGCUUCUUCGUUAGGCAACUGACAUUUGACAUUUAUUAAAAAUGAGAAAGGAAAUUUGACUCACUGAAGAGGGUAGCAACAGAAGACAACCACUGUAUCCAGGAGGGCCUACCCCAGGCUGCCUAUAAAAGCAUGACUUCUGUGUUGACCACAGGCUUGCAUCGAUGAGCGGGGCUGCCUGGAGCAGAGCUGUUGACCCAGGAAGGCAGCAAAGUGUGGGUGGAUGAUGUAUGUGAAAACACACAGUGAGACCUGCCCACCAGGGCACCAGGAACUGCCUCCCAUCAGAACUGCAGAAGUGAGCCUGGAAGCAGAUCCUGCCCUGCUGAGCCUGGAACUUAUGAAGCCCCAGCCAAGAUUCUGAUUUCAGUCUAGGAGACCCCGAGCCAGGAAACCCAGCUGAACCACCCCUGGGCCCAGAGGCUGUGAGACUACACCUGGUAGUAUUUAAGACACUAAGUUUCGGGGUGACAGGUCACACAGCAGUAGAUACCUAAAACAAAUGUGAAGGCUGCUCUCCUUCCCAGCUCUUUCUAGGCAGUGUAGUAGUCAGGGAAGGCUGGGCUGUGCUGUGUAACAAACAGUCACUAUAUCUCAGGUCUUAGAACAAGGGAGGUUUACCUCCCCCACCACAAGUACCAUGAGAGGGUGAGAGAGGGUCCUGUCACACAUGGUGGAGCCUCUACACCUUGUAGCUGCACCUAUGGAACCCUCAGUAUCCUCACAGGCUCCCAGCCCCAGAGCAGAGAAGGGAAGCAGGACAGUCACACAGGGGUUUCACUGCAUCUGCCCAGAAGGAGCACAGCCUCUGCUCAUGCUUUUGGUCAGCACUGGUCACAAGGUCCUGGCUGACUGCCAGGGACUAGAUAUGUGGGGAACAAGUGAUGCUUUGGUGAGCUCUGCUGACCCUCCACCAAGACACUUCCCCAGCCAGAGCACUAGUCCCCAAGAGGCCACAGUGAGCCUUCCUGCUCAGUCACUUCCCUGCAGAGCUGUGACCAGUGGGCACGUUGCCCUCAUGGCCACCUCCUCCAGAGCCCAACCUCCUCCUUGAGGCUCAGGCUUGAGGGACCUUAUACUCUCUAUCCUUUCUGAGGACCAGGAGAGGAUAGAAUAGAACCAAGGAACGUAUCACAGAAAAACCUUAUCCUGAAAGGAAAAUCAAUCUGCUUUUCCAGCAAGUCAGGAUCCAUCCAUCUGGGGUGGCCUCUGCCUGCAGGGACUAAGUACCCUCUCCAAAUCGGUAAGUUCUCCCCAUAUCAGGGUGGCCUCCCUCCUGCUUCACUUAGCCCCAUUCCUGGCUCUCACUGGAAGCAGAGAAUGGCUCAGGCCAGUAUUCCUGUGUACAAGUAUAUCAGCUAUUUGUAUUCAUUUCAUCACUAGCUCAUUUAAUCAGGCAUCUCCUCAGGGCCAGGCCUUCACCCCAGGCCCUUCAGUUCCUCUCACAGGAUUGCAGCCCUCAUGCUAGGCUUAACCACCCCUUAGCACACUUUCCCAAGUGCGGUUUGCAGACAGUUUCCAUAGGCUGUGGAAAGACAUUUCCUUCAGCGACACCUAAAGGACGCUCUCAGGAGCAGAGACAGAGAAAACAGAGGGGGUGCAGGCUGGAUUCCCAAGGGGGUGGGACUUGAAGGGCAGCAUCCCCUCCCUCCCUCCUUGGGGGGCUGAGAAGUGAUCAUGAAAUGAGUGGGGGGUCUUCUCUUGGAAGGUGCCCCACCCAGACCCUGCAGCUCUCAGUCCCUGUCAGGACACAGAAGAGGACAGGAGAACAGGACAGGGUGAAGAUUCAGAGCAGGAGUGUCCUGUCUGCCCAGAGGCACUGAAUCCCAGAACAUCACAGCUGAGAGAGGCCCUCCAGGGGGUCUGCUCAGUCCCCUCCUGUCGCAAAGGAGGAAGCUCCCCAGGGGUGACCCUAGCCUGGGUCACACAGGGCAGAGCCAAAACUGGAGCCAGGGCCCCUCCCUCUCUGCCUGCCCUGUGCUUCUUCCCUGCGGGAGCUGCCCAUCAGCUCUCCACCCCAGCCCCGUCCUCCCCAGGAGCUCCCCCUCCCAGCAUCACCAGCAUCUGGGCCACUGCUGGAGGUUCACCCUCCACCAGGCCUCUCCUGGGAAAGAGGAAGCCAGCACUCAGUGGGGCUUCGCAGGGCAGGACUUUGGCCAGGUGAGCAGCCCAGCCACAUCCUCCACUUGCUGGGAAGGAGGGGACCAGGGGGAGAGGAGGUUCAACCCUCAGACUGCAGGGAGGACCCACCCAGAAGGACUGGGAGCCCAGCUGGGAGGAAGAGGGAAGAAGACUUAGAGAAGGGGGGGCAGCAGGAGCUGUGAUCUACAACAGAUCUAAUCCUGAAGAGGAAGAAAAUAAAGCCGACGAGGGUGUGGGUGUAAGAUAGAGUUUAAAGUUUAUUUAAAUAAUAGAGGAGUUCCUGUCAUGGCUCAGAGGAAGGGAAUCUGACUAGAAUCCCUGAGGACUGGGUUUGAUCCUGGCCUAGCUCAGUGGGUUAAGGAUCCGGCCUUGCCAUGGGCUGUGGUGUAGGUCGCAGAAAUGGCUCAAAUCCUGUGUGGACGUGGCUGUGGCUGUGGUGUAGGUCAGCAGCUGCAGCUCUGAUUCGACCCCUAGCCUGGGAACCUCCCUAUGUCGUGGGUGCAGCCCUAAAAAGACCACACAAAAAAAGGUUUAUUUAAAUAAUAUGAAAAUCAACGCUCAUAAAGUAACCUAAAAUUUUAUCCACUUUUCUCCCCACCCUUUCUCUCUCUGUCAUCUCUGUCAUCUGUAGUUGUCCAACCCCAGACCCUGCAGAGAAAACUCUAACUAAUAUGACAUAUUUUCCAGCUCAACAAAACUGAAAAAGAAAGAAAGGCCACAUUUUACUGUGACAUAAAGUCACCUCAUUUAGAAGGAGGUAAUGUUUCGCAAGUUUGUUGUUACUUUGAGACAUCUGUUUGCAGAAGUUCCCCAAGUCAUUAAACUUUAUGUAACUCCUGCAAGAGGCUGGGAUAUGAAACAAAAAAUUUAAACAAUAAAAGCUUUCCAACUC
RNAcentral lists this long non-coding RNA (4716 nucleotides) under Sus scrofa (pig). RNAcentral's name for it is "lncRNA (ENSSSCG00050072716.1)". The record is from RNAcentral. Lineage: Eukaryota; Metazoa; Chordata; Mammalia; Artiodactyla; Suidae.